RNAcentral lists this unclassified non-coding RNA (397 nucleotides) under plant metagenome. RNAcentral's name for it is "partial contains 5.8S ribosomal RNA, internal transcribed spacer 2, and large subunit ribosomal RNA". The stretch from base 1 to 103 matches the Rfam family "5.8S ribosomal RNA", at positions 50 to 154 of the family's 154-position model. The record is from RNAcentral.
GAAAUGCGAUACGUAAUGUGAAUUGCAGAUUCGUGACUCAUCGAAAUUUUGAACGCACAUUGCACCUGGUGGCAUUCCACUAGGUAUGCUUGUUUGAGUGUCUGUCCAUUUUCCUCACACGCUUGCUGUGGACUUGAUCUUUUUUUUUUUUUCCAUCCGUGAUGGGAAGAGAUCUAAAUGGAUUCAGUGACCUUGUCGCCGAUUCCCCUUCUCUUUUUUUUUGGGAGGGGGGGAAUAAAGGGGCAACUAUCCAUGUCAAUAGGGGCCUUUUGCGCUCCUUUGAUUUGGGUAUCCUGCUUCUCAAAAAAGAAAAUCGACGAAGGAGGUUGCUGCCAAAAAAAUUGCACUAUUUUUUUUUGGACCUCAAAUCAAGCAAGAUUACCCGCUGAACUUAAGC